GUGAAAACACGUCAAUACACUACGAAAAGUUUACUAACAAUGAUUCAACAACUUGACAGUACAAAUAACAUGUCUGCCAGCUGUCAAACAAAAAAAUUUCGGGGUGUCUCAACCUACGUGCCAUCUCAACCUACGUGACUCUCCCCUAUAUUAUUUUAGCCAGUCAGUCAAAAGAAGAUGUGUACAGUUUUUCGCUGCGAAGAACCACAAAACAGCGUUAGAAUUGCAAAAGGAUUGAAAUUUUAAGAUACACACUCACCAAGGCACAACGAAUACUGUCACUACGCAAUAGUGCAAACAAUACGUUCGAUUGUUUUCCAAUUCGAGCAAAUCAACAUACCGUUACCGGCUUAUUAUACCGGAUGUAUAUUCGAAUGUCCGCACAUGUGAAAGUCGAAACUUGGGACUAGGUUUAAAUAAUUGUACCAAAAAUGUACUUAAUUGUACCGCAAUUUAUUUUUAAUUAUACCUUACUCGUUUGGCUAAUAUUUGAGGUUCAAAUUUCGGGGCACUUCAAUUUGCCGGUCAACUAGCCAAAAUAAAACUCAAAGAUAUUUUUUAAAUUUUUAUGGCUGAUAAUAAUUGUACCUAAAAUGUACCUUCAAAAUAACAUCAUCAUAAAGUCAUUACUUCGAUGGUGUUCUUCUGCAGAGCAUGUCCUUCAAAAUUCACGGGGGAUUUCCCGAAAAAAUGGCAAGAAUGAAUCGAAAAAAAAGUUUUGUUCAAAGUGUGCUCACUACACACAUUUUUUUUAGCAUCGAACGCUCGCCUUUUCUGAAGGUUUUUUCCGUUCGUUAGCAAAUUACAGUAAUUUUGUGUUUUAGGUUUUGAAAUCGGUCAAAGCCAGUGUAAAACGGGAGACCAAUUUUUAAUUGCGCACGAAUUCAACGGAAAAAAAAACAAAAUCAAAUUCAAAUUAUGUAGGUAUAUGAAAUGAAAUAUGUUUUUAAAUUAAAAAUUAAAAAAAGAUAAUGCGACCACGUAGAAAAUCAGUAGUCAUAGCACGAAAACAAAUUCGUGAAUCAUUAAGAGGCCUGGGAAUCUCUCUCCGAGAUGACAGCGAUGAUAGCGCAUCAAAUAGUUCAUCAAAUCGUUCGCCCAGUCGUUCGCCGAGUAAUUCGCCAGCUGCAAAACGACCACGAAUAGAAGUGGUGUGGUUCCAGCUCAAGCUCAAGCUCAAAGCCAAGCAUCAGAAUCAGUUAAUUCGACAAUGAGACCAAAUGAACAAACGAGACAACGUCGCCGAAAGGCAAAUCGUACGGGAUUUGAUCGACCAAAGAGAAGGAGACCACAACAAAAUCGGCCAACAAAUACUUCAACAAGUAUUUCUGGACAAACACAAAAUUCUGUGAAUUUGCUCGAUUGUGUCGUACGUUUAGAUGCAUCAGCAUGUGAUGCUUUCAUAAAUCAAAUGUAAAACGCCAUAUGACAUGUACAUUUGACAUCUUUCUAAUAUGUUCUAGUUUUUCUAGUAUCGUGUUCGUGGGUAACCCCAAGUAAUUAACGGCAUAUUUUUGUGUAAAUUUGGUUGAAAAUGUGAUUUAUUUGAUUUAUAACAACAACAGCAGCCCAUCCAAAUGGGCAUGGUAAAUCAAAUGGGUGGCCAAAUGACUCGAUCACCAAGUCCAUUACCAUCCACAUUAACAUCAAAUGUGAAUCAAGUGCCACUGAAUGCACCAAAUGCCAAUCCACAGCCAUCCACAUCGACAGCGGCAGUGGCAGCCGCAUCAACAUCAGCAGCUACAACGACAACGACAAAAAAGCCAUUGAAACGCCAAAAUGAAAUGAGAGCAAAACGAGGUGAAACAAAGAAUAAAAACCUGAAACUGAAUCAAUUUUUGCGCGAUGAAAAAGUUUUCCCAGACAAACAACGCCUGAGUGAUUUAAUUGAAAGAGUUGUGGUCAAUUCCUCAAAAAUGUUCAAAUUGGCAUCGCUUUAUGUGCUCUUCAUAUUGAAUCGGUUGGUUGACAAUGGUUCCGAUGUCGAAAUCCGUUGUAAAUUUUUGGCCAAAUUCAAUGCAAACAAAUAUUUUAGAGAACGACAUCGAAACCAAAUUGGAUUUCGAAAAUGUCGACCAAAUAUUGAAAUUUGCGAUCGAACAAUACGUUCGAAAUGCGCAAUUAAUCGUGAAAAUGCACAUGAGACGAUACAUGCGAAAAUAUUUCAAGAAUUUGGGUGCAAAAAACUUCACUAUGAUAUACACUGAAAAAUUCACAAAUUUCACAAAUCAUAUAAAAAUCACAAAAAAUCGAAAAUUUUAUAUGGGAAAUGUGUUUCACUUUGAUCCAAAUUACUUCAAACUUUUCAGGAUCUUAUUUUUUGGUAAAAAAAAAAUCUUUGCAAAGUUUCACGUUUUUACUUCAUCAUACAGACAUAGUUCCCAUACAAAAAUCCAAUUUUUUGGGGAUUUUAAUAUGAAGUUUUGAGAUUUUUAUAUAAGUGGAAAAAAAGUGAUUAAGUUACUAUUGACUAUAAGUAACUAUAGUUAGCUGACUGGUUUUACAGUCAAUAGUCCUGGGUUUGACACAGAAAGGAAAGGUAUUUAUUUUUCAAAACAGUUAUCAUAGUCGUGUAUCUAUGACCAUCCUACAGAGAUUAUGGGGGUACGAUUUUUGAUUCUCGUAAAAAUAUCAAAAUUGAACCACUCUAAUGUAAUUUUAUUUAUGCAGAAAACAAUAAAUAUGUGUAUUUAAGUGCA
Molecule: long non-coding RNA, 2699 nt
Organism: Contarinia nasturtii (swede midge)
Lineage: Eukaryota; Metazoa; Arthropoda; Insecta; Diptera; Cecidomyiidae
Exons: 3
Source: RefSeq, a predicted model, not a curated record